UUGAUAGUUUGAAAUUUAAACAUUUUAUAUGAUCCUACACUUUUUACUUAGAUGAUCGUGUGUAUAUAUACGCAAUUGUAUAACGCUCGAUUCAUGUGUCUAUAAUCUUCAAAUUUAGAAUAAGUGUUAUUAGGGUUUUUUUCAUAUAUUUAUACUUAUAUAUAUAUGCAUACAUAGAUAUAUUUUUUUUAAACAUUAUAUGAUUCAUUCAUCAUUUACAACUGCUUUUUUUUUUUUCUCUUUCUUUCUUUUUGUAUUAAUUUUUUAAAUUUUAAUUUGCGAAAAUAAGAAAAGCAAAAUAUUUUCACAUGUGAAUAAAUACGAUAUAAUUUGUAUAUAUUUUUUAUAUUCUGCAUAUACAUACUUAUUUGCAUAACAUAUACAUAAAUAUUUUUUUUUUUAUUUAUAUUUUAAACUUACGACGUACAUACAUACAGGCACAAACGAUAUUUCUACUAAUACGCUUGCAAUUUUUGGUAUUUUUACCUACAAAACUAAACACCAUAAAAACCAUCAUAAAAAAUAUUAUUGAAUAAAAAAAAAAAUGGUACAUUUUUUUUUUUUUUUUUUUAAACUCGUAUUGAAUUAGAAACACAUAGAUAAGAGGUUACAACGGAUAUAGGCUUUGUUUCGCACACACAUAGAAACGCUGUUGUGAUUCGAUUUCUUCAUGCUUCACAACGCGCGCUCUUAAGUUAAUUGUUAAGUUGGUAUAUAUAUAUAUAUAUAUGUGCAUAUGCAUGCAUAUUUCUCCUUUUUUUUUUAAAACCACUUCAACAUGUUUAAAAGUAUUAUACCAACAACUGUCGGAUUAAAUGAGUCAAAGUACAUACAUGCAAACAUAGAUGAGGAUAUUAAUUUUUAUAACAACAACAAUGACAAAUCGUCCAAUAAUAUCAACGAUUUAGAACACACCAUUCCUAUACUGUCACCUGAAGACGUGAUUAGUGUUUCAAAUAUAUACAACAUAAAAAUACAAAAUUUGGAAAAAUGUAUCACACCUGAAGAUAUAGCUACUGAAAUAUUAAAUACUAAGAAUUUGGAAAAUAAAAGAAAGUAUACGGAAAAAAAUGCUAAUGAUUUAAAAAAAAAAAAAAAAACAGCAUAUAGUAAUAAUAACAUGAGUAAUGGGCAUAAGUAUGAUAUAAAUGUUAAAAAUGACUAUAAAAAAAAUGUUAUAUUACAAGAUAACGUUUUAUAUCAAAAUAAUAAUAAUGCUGAACGCUAUGUACAACACCAGUUUGCAUAUACCCCUAUACAACGCAAUAAUACAUACAAAAGAUAUAGUGAUAACAUGAUAAUACACAGACAUAAUACUAUGUUAAAGGAUGAAAAUUAUAUUACGAACAACGGUAACUAUACUUAUAUUGGUCGUAACAAUAAUAAUAACAAGAACGCUUUUAAUACUGUUAACAGUAACAGUUUCAAUGACUUUUUUUCAUAUGGCCCUCACAUAAUACCGGCAAGACGAUCGAAUGAUACGUAUACCGCUUUUCAUAAUAAAUGUAAAAAUUACAACUACAACCACCAAUUAAACGGUAACAUAAGUUACAACUCUCAAGACAAAAUAAGUACACAACUAAUAAACGAAAUAGAUAUGAUAAGAUUGGCUUAUAAAAAACGAUACACUAUUAAUAAAAACAGUUUUAUUAAUGUUACUCAGUUACAUUCUAAUAAUAUAAAUUGUAGAGUUACACAUGAAGAUGUCCCUUUUGGUGGCGUAAGUAGUAUAAGUCAAACUAACAACAAACAGUACGACAAAACAUCUGAUCAUAAUUAUGCAUAUGACAAAGCAUCCAUUGACAACAAACACAACCAAAUGUACACAUACAACAAUAACAAAGAAACAAAAAAAAGUGUCGAACUCGAUUUGAACCCUAAUUCGAUUGAACAUAAAAAUGAUUACGAUGUGAUUAAUAUAAAUCCAGUUCCAAUUAUACAUAUUACGAACCAAGAAAGCUCAGACAAAAUAUUGGUUGAUAAUAAAAAAAUAAAUACAAAAAAUGUAAUAAAGAGAGAAAUGCAAGAUGAAUAUGUUAAAAAUAUAAAGUAUGAGAAUGAUAACUAUUGCGAUGGACACUUAAUGGAAAAUAAAGAAUACAUAUAUAACAAAACAAAUGUAACACAGCCAUUGUUAACUAAAACAAAUAAACAUGCAAUCUCAAAUAUUUAUGAUAAAUUAACGAUGCAAGAUAAAGACGGUUAUAUAAAUGAGGCCACUGUAAAAGUAGAAUUAGAGCAAAAUGUAUAUAAUAUAAAAAAUGAAAUAUUUGAAGAUGUAUUAACAAAAAGCGAACCAUUAACACAAAGAGAAACUUCUGAUCAAGUCGAUUAUAAUACUUUAUAUGAAAAAAAUAAAAAUACAAUUUAUUCAGAAGAUAAUGUGAAGGACUUUAUUUUACAUACGCAAAAAUGUGAACCAACCGAAUCAACAAUGUACAACGAAAAUGUAAGUCAUAUAUAUUAUCAGUUUGACGAAAUGAUUGAUUUGUUUAUAGAUAUUGAUUCAAACGAUAUAAAUAAAAAUAAAAAAAUGAAAAAAAUUAUUCUAUGUGCAGAAAACUGUCUGAAAACUGAACAAAAUCUGGUAUAUAAUAAUACACUUAAAUUAAAAACUGUGUUUGAUAAGAUUUUUGCUAAUGCUGAAGAAUUUUUAAAUAAAGAAAUAAAUUAUCGAACAGCAACAAAAUCGGCUCAAGUAAAUAAAUUAGUACCAACAACUGUGGUAAAAAAGGUAGCCUCGACGGUUUCGGCGAAUAAAACAGUUUUUACGAAGAAAACGACCACACGUGAGUGCGAUGGCGUAGUUGUUAAAGGCAUAGAAAAUGGUAUAGAAAAUGACACACGAAACGAAGGUAAUAACGACGAAGACGAUGAUGACAUAAGCAACGAUAGCAACAGAAGUAAUGAUAGCAACAGAAGUAAUGAUAGCAACAGAAGCAACGAAGGCGACACAAACCAACCCA
Molecule: long non-coding RNA, 2966 nt
Organism: Piliocolobus tephrosceles (Ugandan red Colobus)
Lineage: Eukaryota; Metazoa; Chordata; Mammalia; Primates; Cercopithecidae
Source: Ensembl